This 253-nucleotide ribosomal RNA is filed under the name uncultured bacterium. RNAcentral describes it as "partial 16S ribosomal RNA". It matches the Rfam family "Bacterial small subunit ribosomal RNA", at positions 524 to 776 of the family's 1533-position model. The record is from RNAcentral.
GACGUAGGGCGCGAGCGUUGUCCGGAUUUAUUGGGCGUAAAGAGCUCGUAGGCGGCUUGUCGCGUCGAAUGUGAAAACUCGGUGCUCAACUCCGAGCUUGCAUUCGAUACGGGCAGGCUAGAGUUCGGUAGGGGAGACUGGAAUUCCUGGUGUAGCGGUGAAAUGCGCAGAUAUCAGGAGGAACACCGGUGGCGAAGGCGGGUCUCUGGGCCGAUACUGACGCUGAGGCGCGAAAGCCAGGGGAGCGAACGGG